RNAcentral lists this ribosomal RNA (373 nucleotides) under uncultured organism. Its description in RNAcentral is "partial 16S ribosomal RNA". It matches the Rfam family "Bacterial small subunit ribosomal RNA", at positions 527 to 896 of the family's 1533-position model. The record is from RNAcentral.
GUAGGUGGCAAGCGUUGUCCGGAAUUAUUGGGCGUAAAGCGCGCGCAGGCGGUUCUUUAAGUCUGAUGUGAAAGCCCACGGGCUCAACCGUGGAGGGUCAUUGGAAACUGGAGAACUUGAGUACAGAAGAGGAAAGCGGAAUUCCACGUGUAGCGGUGAAAUGCGUAGAGAUGUGGAGGAACACCAGUGGCGAAGGCGGCUUUCUGGUCUGUAACUGACGCUGAGGCGCGAAAGCGUGGGGAGCAAACAGGAUUAGAUACCCUGGUAGUCCACGCCGUAAACGAUGAGUGCUAAGUGUUAGGGGGUUUCCGCCCCUUAGUGCUGCAGCUAACGCAUUAGGCACUCCGCCUGGGGAGUACGGCCGCAAAGGCUG